GUGACCGUACCUCCGGAGGAAGACACGGUUAACUACGUGCCAGCAGCCGCGUUAAUACGUAGGUGGCGAGCGUUGUCCGGAAUCACUGGGAGUAAAGGGCGCGCAGGCUGCGUGUCAAGUCGGACGUGAAAACCCCUGGCUCAACUGGGGGAUGACGUUCGAAACUGGCAUGCUUGAGUGCAGGAAAGGGAAGCGUAAUUCCCGGUGUAGCGGUGAAAUGCUUAAAUAUCGGGAGGAACACCAGUGGAUAAGGCGGCUUCCUGGACUGUAACUGACGCUGAGGCGCGAAUGCUGGGGGAGCGAACAGGAUUAGAUACCCUGGUAGUCCCGGCCGUAAACGAUGAACACUAGGUGUGGGAGGUAUCGACCCCUCCCGUGCCGCAGCAAACGCAUUAAGUGUUCCGCCUGGGGAGUACGGCCGCUGGGCUA
Molecule: ribosomal RNA, 429 nt
Filed under: uncultured Symbiobacterium sp.
Lineage: Bacteria; Bacillati; Bacillota; Clostridia; Eubacteriales; Symbiobacteriaceae
Description: bacterial SSU rRNA
Rfam family: Bacterial small subunit ribosomal RNA
Source: RNAcentral